GAUGAACGCUGGCGGCGUGCCUAAUACAUGCAAGUAGAACGCUGAAGGAGGAGCUUGCUCUUCUGGAUGAGUUGCGAACGGGUGAGUAACGCGUAGGUAACCUGCCUGGUAGCGGGGGAUAACUAUUGGAAACGAUAGCUAAUACCGCAUGACAACAGUUAUUGCAUGAUAACUGUUUAAAAGGGGCAACUGCUCCACUACCAGAUGGACCUGCGUUGUAUUAGCUAGUUGGUGAGGUAACGGCUCACCAAGGCGACGAUACAUAGCCGACAUGAGAGGGUGAUCGGCCACACUGGGACUGAGACACGGCCCAGACUCCUACGGGAGGCAGCAGUAGGGAAUCUUCGGCAAUGGACGGAAGUCUGACCGAGCAACGCCGCGUGAGUGAAGAAGGUUUUCGGAUCGUAAAGCUCUGUUGUAAGAGAAGAACGAGUGUGAGAGUGGAAAGUUCACACUGUGACGGUAUCUUACCAGAAAGGGACGGCUAACUACGUG
This 495-nucleotide ribosomal RNA is filed under the name uncultured bacterium. RNAcentral's name for it is "partial 16S ribosomal RNA". It matches the Rfam family "Bacterial small subunit ribosomal RNA", at positions 28 to 507 of the family's 1533-position model. The record is from RNAcentral.